This 114-nucleotide transfer RNA is filed under the name Madurella mycetomatis. It matches the Rfam family "tRNA". From Rfam's summary of the family: Transfer RNA (tRNA) molecules are approximately 80 nucleotides in length. Their secondary structure includes four short double-helical elements and three loops (D, anti-codon, and T loops). The record is from Rfam by way of RNAcentral. Lineage: Eukaryota; Fungi; Ascomycota; Sordariomycetes; Sordariales.
GGCAACUUGGCCGAGUGGUCUAAGGCGAUGCACUCAAGGAAAACUAUCCUUACCCUUCAAACGGGAAGUAUUGCAUUCUCGCAAGAGGCGUGAGUUCGAAUCUCACAGUUGUCA